GCCAGUGUGGUGCAGUGGUUUGAGCACUGGACUAUGACUCUGGAGAUCAGGGCUCGAUUCCCUACUCAGCCA
RNAcentral lists this transfer RNA (72 nucleotides) under Phrynosoma platyrhinos (Desert horned lizard). RNAcentral's name for it is "tRNA-OTHER". Lineage: Eukaryota; Metazoa; Chordata; Lepidosauria; Squamata; Phrynosomatidae. The record is from RNAcentral.